RNAcentral lists this small RNA (441 nucleotides) under Pan troglodytes (chimpanzee). Its description in RNAcentral is "processed transcript". The record is from RNAcentral. Lineage: Eukaryota; Metazoa; Chordata; Mammalia; Primates; Hominidae.
AGCACUUUGUUAGUGAACGUAAAUAUGAUGAGGAUCUGGGACGAGUAGCCCGGUUCACCUGUGAUGUAGAGACCCUAAAGAAGAGCAUUGAUUCAUUUGGACAAGUGUCUCAUCCAAAGAACAGCUAUUCAACCAGAUCCCGAUGUAGCUCAGUUACAUCUGUGUCCUUGAGUAGCCCAAGUGAUGCCUCUGCUGCUUCCUCUUCCACCUGUGCCUCUCCUCCCAGCCUUACAAGUGCUAACAAGAAAAACUUUGCACUGGGAGAGACUCCUGCAGCCAUAGCAAACUCCAGUGGCCAGCCCUACCAGCCACUUCGGGAGGUAUCAGAGUGCUCCAUCUCAGGCACCAGGAAACACCAUUGAAAGAGGCCAGACUCACUCUGCAGGGACCAAUGGAACUGGAGUCAGCAUGGAGCCCAGCCCUCCCACGCCUUCAUUCAAA